This 495-nucleotide ribosomal RNA is filed under the name uncultured bacterium. RNAcentral's name for it is "bacterial SSU rRNA". It matches the Rfam family "Bacterial small subunit ribosomal RNA", at positions 8 to 518 of the family's 1533-position model. The record is from RNAcentral.
AGAGUUGAUCAUGGCUCAGGACGAACGCUGGCGGCGUGCCUAACACAUGCAAGUCGAACGGAGUCAAGAAGCUUGCUUUUGACUUAGUGGCGGACGGGUGAGUAACGCGUGAGUAACCUGCCUCUGAGAGGGGAAUAACGUUCUGAAAAGAACGCUAAUACCGCAUAAUGUAUCGAAGCCGCAUGACUUUGAUACCAAAGAUUUUAUCGCUUGGAGAUGGACUCGCGUCCGAUUAGUUAGUUGGUGAGGUGACGGCUCACCAAGACCGCGAUCGGUAGCCGGACUGAGAGGUCGAUCGGCCACAUUGGGACUGAGACACGGCCCAGACUCCUACGGGAGGCAGCAGUGGGGGAUAUUGCGCAAUGGGGGCAACCCUGAACCGCAGCAACGCCGCGUGAAGGAUGAAGGUUUUCGGAUUGUAAACUUCUUUUAUCAGGGACGAAGCUUGACGGUACCUGAUGAAUAAGCUCCGGCUAACUACGUGCCAGCCGCCGC